CAGCCUAACACAUGCAAGUCAGAGCGGAUGACGGGAGCUUGCUCCUUGAUUCAGCGGCGGACGGGUGAGUAAUGCCUAGGAAUCUGCCUGGUAGUGGGGGACAACGUUUCGAAAUGGAAUGCUAAUACCGCAUACNGUCCUACAGGGAGAAAGCAG
RNAcentral lists this ribosomal RNA (156 nucleotides) under uncultured bacterium. RNAcentral describes it as "partial 16S ribosomal RNA". It matches the Rfam family "Bacterial small subunit ribosomal RNA", at positions 46 to 209 of the family's 1533-position model. The record is from RNAcentral.